Non-coding RNA from Labrus bergylta (ballan wrasse), 679 nucleotides. NCBI's taxonomy places the organism in Eukaryota, Metazoa, Chordata, Actinopteri, Labriformes, Labridae. The record is from RefSeq and is a predicted model, not a curated record.
CUCUCUGGUGUGAAGGAGGACAUCGUCACCAAACUGGACAAACGAGAGAUCAAGACCAACUACGUGAAUCCCAUCUACAUGAUCAUUGUCAUCAUCGCUGUUGUUCUCCUUCUUGUAACCAUCGUCUGUGUGGCUGGAUUCUGCCUGUAUAAGAAGAGAAAUGCCAAACGCCCUCCAUCCCCGGUAAACGACCCGGCUGUGCAACAAAUGAUGCUUCCAAAUCAAAAUACCUAAAGACAAAGAGAGGACCCUGAACCCAGUUUACGGGUACGUUCUGCACUGAAACAAGGAGCAGACCGACACGCUCUCCUCAGAAUUCAUUGGCUCUCAUCGUAUCAGACAUGAAGUGAUCAGAGUUGGGAAUUUAAAUUUAAAUCUUUGAAAUACAAAGAAAACAAGUUUGAAAAAGAGUUGACAAAUGCUUUACAAAUCUUGAUGAUUUAUUUUUUGUCACCUGGAGAGAAGAGAAUCAGAAGAUGAAUCUAUGACGGCAUCACGCCGCUCUUCAUGUGUUGAAGAAAGAUUUGUGUGUUGAUCUAAAAUCCAUCAUAGUUGGAUUUUUCUACUUCUGGUGUUCAGAGCUUUGUGCUAAAACAAAUGUUGGUGAUAAAUACGUUAAUAAAGACACACACACACACACACACACACACACACACACACACACACACACACACACACA